RNAcentral lists this RNase MRP RNA (385 nucleotides) under Kluyveromyces lactis. Its description in RNAcentral is "partial RNase MRP RNA". It matches the Rfam family "RNase MRP". From Rfam's summary of the family: RNase MRP is an enzymatically active ribonucleoprotein with two distinct roles in eukaryotes. In mitochondria it plays a direct role in the initiation of mitochondrial DNA replication. In the nucleus it is involved in precursor rRNA processing, where it cleaves the internal transcribed spacer 1 between 18S and 5.8S rRNAs. The record is from RNAcentral. Lineage: Eukaryota; Fungi; Ascomycota; Saccharomycetes; Saccharomycetales; Saccharomycetaceae.
UUUGUAGUCGAAGAAUCGUCACUGAUCGAAGCUUACAUAAGGAACGGAUUUUAUCUGUUCAAUUGAAAUGAUAUCAUUUCUAUAGCUUUGGGUAGAAAGUCUCCGACCAGUCCGUAAGCGGAAACGUAAUGAGAUUUAAAAACUUUUCAAAUGUUUAAAUCAACUCAUUAAUCGUGUUGGUUUUCUGUCACGGUUUCUAUCCAGAGGCUGUUUUAGAAGCCUCUGUGUCUUGGGUACUGAAGUAUUUCUUUACUUUAAACGAAAGUUAUGACGAUUGCCCGAGCGUUUUUAUCUCUUUUUUUGUUACUUCUGUUUACAGGGGUGAUUAGGGAGGAGGUAGCUUGGGUAACCCAAUGGAGCUUACUUUCUCGGCUCACGAAACUCU